GACGAACCGUGCGAACGUUGUUCGGAAUCACUGGGCUUAAAGGGCGCGUAGGCGGUCGGGCAAGUCCGGGGUGAAAUCCUGCAGCUCAACUGUAGAAGUGCCUUGGAUACUGCCCGGCUCGAGGGAGGUAGGGGUCUGUGGAACUUCUGGUGGAGCGGUGAAAUGCGUUGAUAUCAGAAGGAACGCCGGUGGCGAAAGCGACAGACUGGACCUCUUCUAACGCUGAGGCGCGAAAGCUAGGGGAGCAAACGGG
Molecule: ribosomal RNA, 253 nt
Filed under: uncultured bacterium
Lineage: Bacteria
Description: partial 16S ribosomal RNA
Rfam family: Bacterial small subunit ribosomal RNA
Source: RNAcentral